Molecule: ribosomal RNA, 460 nt
Filed under: uncultured bacterium
Lineage: Bacteria
Description: partial 16S ribosomal RNA
Rfam family: Bacterial small subunit ribosomal RNA
Source: RNAcentral
CCUACGGGAGGCAGCAGUGAGGAAUAUUGGUCAAUGGACGAGAGUCUGAACCAGCCAAGUAGCGUGAAGGAUGACUGCCCUAUGGGUUGUAAACUUCUUUUAUAUGGGAAUAAAACGUUCCACGUGUGGGAUUUUGUAUGUACCAUAUGAAUAAGGAUCGGCUAACUCCGUGCCAGCAGCCGCGGUAAUACGGAGGAUCCGAGCGUUAUCCGGAUUUAUUGGGUUUAAAGGGAGCGUAGGUGGAUUGUUAAGUCAGUUGUGAAAGUUUGCGGCUCAACCUUAAAAUUGCAGUUGAAACUGGCAGUCUUGAGUACAGUAGAGGUGGGCGGAAUUCGUGGUGUAGCGGUGAAAUGCUUAGAUAUCACGAAGAACUCCGAUUGCGAAGGCAGUUCACUGGACUGCAACUGACACUGAGGCUCGAAAGUGUGGGUAUCAAACAGGAUUAGAUACCCUUGUAGUC